Transfer RNA from Ovis aries (sheep), 72 nucleotides. It matches the Rfam family "tRNA". From Rfam's summary of the family: Transfer RNA (tRNA) molecules are approximately 80 nucleotides in length. Their secondary structure includes four short double-helical elements and three loops (D, anti-codon, and T loops). Further hydrogen bonds mediate the characteristic L-shaped molecular structure. tRNAs have two regions of fundamental functional importance: the anti-codon, which is responsible for specific mRNA codon recognition, and the 3' end, to which the tRNAs corresponding amino acid is attached (by aminoacyl-tRNA synthetases). tRNAs cope with the degeneracy of the genetic code in two manners: having more than one tRNA (with a specific anti-codon) for a particular amino acid; and 'wobble' base-pairing, i.e. permitting non-standard base-pairing at the 3rd anti-codon position. The record is from Rfam. NCBI's taxonomy places the organism in Eukaryota, Metazoa, Chordata, Mammalia, Artiodactyla, Bovidae.
UCCCUGAUAGCUCAAUUGGUAAAGACUCCGCCUGCAAGGCAGGAGACCCAGGUUUGAUUCCUGGGUGGGGAA